GACGGUCACGUCACGUCGAAACACCGGUUUUCGAACGCUCACCGAAGUUAAGCAACGUCGAACCUGAUCAGUACCUAGAUUGGUGACCGCUUAGGAAUAGUGGACGCUGUA
Molecule: non-coding RNA, 111 nt
Organism: Acanthosepion pharaonis
Lineage: Eukaryota; Metazoa; Mollusca; Cephalopoda; Sepiida; Sepiidae
Source: the annotation of a GenBank genome assembly